Molecule: ribosomal RNA, 752 nt
Filed under: uncultured Bacilli bacterium
Lineage: Bacteria; Bacillati; Bacillota; Bacilli
Description: bacterial SSU rRNA
Rfam family: Bacterial small subunit ribosomal RNA
Source: RNAcentral
ACAUGCAAGUCGAACGCUUCUUUUUCCACCGGAGCUUGCUCCACCGGAAAAAGAGGAGUGGCGAACGGGUGAGUAACACGUGGGUAACCUGCCCAUCAGAAGGGGAUAACACUUGGAAACAGGUGCUAAUACCGUAUAACAAUCAAAACCGCAUGGUUUUGAUUUGAAAGGCGCUUUCGGGUGUCGCUGAUGGAUGGACCCGCGGUGCAUUAGCUAGUUGGUGAGGUAACGGCUCACCAAGGCCACGAUGCAUAGCCGACCUGAGAGGGUGAUCGGCCACAUUAGGACUGAGACACGGCCCAAACUCCUACGGGAGGCAGCAGUAGGGAAUCUUCGGCAAUGGACGAAAGUCUGACCGAGCAACGCCGCGUGAGUGAAGAAGGUUUUCGGGUCGUAAAACUCUGUUGUUGGAGAAGAACAAGGAUGAGAGUAACUGUUCAUCCCUUGACGGUAUCUAACCGGAAAGCCACGGCUAACUACGUGCCAGCAGCCGCGGUAAUACGUAGGUGGCAAGCGUUGUCCGGAUUUAUUGGGCGUAAAGCGAGCGCAGGCGGUUUCUUAAGUCUGAUGUGAAAGCCCCCGGCUCAACCGGGGAGGGUCAUUGGAAACUGGGAGACUUGAGUGCAGAAGAGGAGAGUGGAAUUCCAUGUGUAGCGGUGAAAUGCGUAGAUAUAUGGAGGAACACCAGUGGCGAAGGCGGCUCUCUGGUCUGUAACUGACGCUGAGGCUCGAAAGCGUGGGGAGCAAACAGG